This 3091-nucleotide long non-coding RNA is filed under the name Capsicum annuum. Its description in RNAcentral is "long non-coding RNA (CANN_LNC018724)". Lineage: Eukaryota; Viridiplantae; Streptophyta; Magnoliopsida; Solanales; Solanaceae. The record is from RNAcentral.
ACAAGGAUAUUCAGUGAACGAAAAAACUAUAUCCAGAGUAACAUAAUCAAAAACAAAACAGAGAUAAUCGAUGAAAUGAACAUAAAUAAUUCUCAAAUAAAGCUAAGAAAUCAACCCAGCAUGUGCCUCUGCUAUGAUGACACAUUUCGUAUAAUCAUCCCAGUAUUUCUUUUUUUUUUAAGUAAUACUUGUAACAUAAUUAACUCAGUAUAAAGUAGAGAGAUUGGACUUUUGGAGCAUACUUAAUUAACUCAGUAUAAAGUAGAGAGAUUGGACUUUUGGAGCAUACUUAAUUAACUCAGUAUAAAAUAGAGGGAUUGGACUUUUGGAGCAUAUUUGGUUUCCGGUAAUUGUUUAAAAGGAUCGACUCUCCAGCAUCUUGUUUCAUCAACCAAAUCAGCUUGCUCUAGUGAUGCAAUUAGAAAAGAAUAAAGAUGUAGAAGAAACUGUAGGAUUAGGAGAUCGAGGAGUUUGGUGAUAUUGUUCUACUGUACCUAAUCAACUUUUGAGGUGAGGGGAGCCAAACUUGGAGAUGGAAGGAUCAACUGAUAGUAAAAUCUCUGUUAUUCUAUCAAUAAGUACCUAGCCAAGAGAGAUGCAAUGGACUUUCUCCUUUACAUCAGCAUUAACAGCUGCAAGUAAUGUGGGUCCUUCUGUCUCGUGCAUGCACCUCCUUGCCUCUGAGUUAAGAGUCCAAAGGUCAACCUUUGGAUGUUGUCAAGUGGCACUUUGGUUAUGAAGGUUGAUUAAAUCAGUUGGUACAUUCCCUCCAACUCAUCAAUAUUAAUAAGAUGUUAUGACUGCUUAGACAGGGUUGAUUUAGACAGAAGACAUAGUUUCGUGGAUUCACUGAUUAGUUAUCAUAAUUGUAUAUAUUUUGUAUCCAAGUAAUUUUUUCAAGAAAACAAAUAUUUUGUGCACAGGUGAUAUUUGAGGUGUAUAUAUAAUUGGAAGGGUGCUGUAAGAAAGGAACUCUCUCGCAAAGGGCUCCUAUUCAGUGGAUGACCUAGGAUUUCCAUUGAGGGGGUUGAAAAAAAAAACAUGCUAAUAGUGCGGACACAGAUCGGUUCAAAUAUGAAAAGGUCGGAUCAAAUAUAUAUAUAUAUAACAAAGAAGAAGAGGUUUUAUGUGGAGCAAUGAGCUUUUAAGUCAGAAUUCCAAUAUCAAAGUUAAACACUAUUUUCUUGAUUUGUGGGCUUUGAUCACCAUUGAAUUUUUCUCUUGGUACUAUAAAAAAAAUAGUUUGAUAAGCAUUCACUCAAACUCUAUUCUAACAAUUACACAAUCCGAAAAAUAGGGUCAUAGGGAUGUAAAUAUGGAGGGUUAGGAUUGGUGGGGCAAGCCAAAAAUGGAAGCUUUUAUACAAAUAAACCAGUAAACAACAAAUACCAGCAUGUCAGCAGCAGCAACCAGCAAGAAACACAAUCCAAAGUGAACGAGAAGAGAGAGCAAAAAGGGGAAAGAGCGCAAGAGACCAAGAAAGCGUCAGAUAGGAUUUUUUAAUUUUUUUGACUUUGUAAUUAGGGAUGUGAUAUAAAUCGAGACUGUCUUUUUUUCCAGAAAACGAGGCCGUUUCAUUUAUGUAGAAAAAAAUACAAAAAGCCUAAAGCUAAAUAUUGAAAAAUUGAUGCCGGCAAGAUUCGAACCUGCGCGUUCCUGCUAAUCCCUCAACCCCUUAGCUACUGAACCAUGUCCUUGACUUGUGUUGAGGGGUUUCAACAUUAAAUAAAUACACAUAAAAUAAAAGUUUGAUCCUAUAUAUCCGCCCUGCUCCUUAUCGUAUACCCCUUUGUACAGGGGAUCUUCCCAUUGUCUACUAGAUAUAUUUUAUCAACCUCACUAAUGCAAUUCCUUUUACAAAUAUAUAUUUCAUCUUACAUCAUGUUGCUCCUUUUCUUCUGUUAUAGAAUGAACAGAAAUUACUCCUAGUAAUGUACAUAGCCAUAUUUAGGCAGCAGAUCUAUAGAAAUGCUCUUUUAUUUCUUUUUAAGUCAGCACACAAUCUAUUGUAUUUAUACAUUGCUUACCUACUGGAAUAAGAUAUUUUCUUCCACUUGAUUACAUGGUAUCAGAGCCAUAGGGCAAGGGCUCGAUUCAUAUACAAAAUUGGGAAUUCGUCCACAGUUAUUGGAUAAAGGGAUUCGAUCAUUUGGGACACCUCUAGGGAGUGACUGGAUUGUCCUCUAUUAUCUUGUCACCCAUAUUAAAUCAACCAAAGUUGACCUUUAAUUUGAUUUCUAUUAGCAGAGUUACUAGAGACCUGAAUUGGUAUAUCUUGUCUCUUCCUGGAUCAUUAUUUGUUUCGUGAUCUUACAACAAAUCAGGUUAUUGGUAAAGGACAUUUAUCACAUGAUCUCUAUCAUGGUCUAUUGCCUGUUCUAUUGUCGUCUUCUUCCUCCAAGACCAUCCUGUGGUUGAUUCCAGCACUCUCAACACCAGAACUCCUUGAGAACUGCUCUGGCGUGUGAUAACCAGUUCCAUCUUGUGACAUCCCUGAAAAUUUUGGAGUAGAGAGAUUUACUAAAUCUAUCCUUGAGUUAUCCUGAAGACAGCUUGAAACAGACAACAGAGCUUUUCUCACAGUUGAAAGGGUUCCAGCAAUCUGCACACAAGGAUAUUCAGUGAACGAAAAAACUAUAUCCAGAGUAACAUAAUCAAAAACAAAACAGAGAUAAUCGAUGAAAUGAACAUAAAUAAUUCUCAAAUAAAGCUAAGAAAUCAACCCAGCAUGUGCCUCUGCUAUGAUGACACAUUUCGUAUAAUCAUCCCAGUAUUUCUUUUUUUUUUAAGUAAUACUUGUAACAUAAUUAACUCAGUAUAAAGUAGAGAGAUUGGACUUUUGGAGCAUACUUAAUUAACUCAGUAUAAAAUAGAGGGAUUGGACUUUUGGAGCAUAUUUGGUUUCCGGUAAUUGUUUAAAAGGAUCGACUCUCCAGCAUCUUGUUUCAUCAACCAAAUCAGCUUGCUCUAGUGAUGCAAUUAGAAAAGAAUAAAGAUGUAGAAGAAACUGUAGGAUUAGGAGAUCGAGGAGUUUGGUGAUAUUGUUCUACUGUACCUAAUCAACUUUUGAGGUGAGGGGAGCCAAACUUGG